AGAGUUUGAUCAUGGCUCAGAGCGAACGCUGGCGGCAGGCCUAACACAUGCAAGUCGAACGCCCCUUCGGGGGAGUGGCGGACGGGUGAGUAACGCGUGGGAAUGUGCCCUUUGGUACGGAACAACUGAGGGAAACUUCAGCUAAUACCGUAUGUGCCCUACGGGGGAAAGAUUUAUCGCCAUUGGAGCAGCCCGCGUUGGAUUAGGUAGUUGGUGGGGUAAAGGCCUACCAAGCCUACGAUCCAUAGCUGGUCUGAGAGGAUGAUCAGCCACACUGGGACUGAGACACGGCCCAGACUCCUACGGGAGGCAGCAGUGGGGAAUCUUGCGCAAUGGGCGAAAGCCUGACGCAGCCAUGCCGCGUGUAUGAUGAAGGUCUUAGGAUUGUAAAAUACUUUCACCGGGGAAGAUAAUGACGGUACCCGGAGAAGAAGCCCCGGCUAACUUCGUGCCAGCAGCCGCGGUAAUACGAAGGGGGCUAGCGUUGCUCGGAAUUACUGGGCGUAAAGGGCGCGUAGGCGGACAGUUUAGUCAGAGGUGAAAGCCCAGGGCUCAACCUUGGAAUUGCCUUUGAUACUGGCUGUCUUGAGUUCGGGAGAGGUGAGUGGAAUGCCGAGUGUAGAGGUGAAAUUCGUAGAUAUUCGGCGGAACACCAGUGGCGAAGGCGACUCACUGGCCCGAUACUGACGCUGAGGCGCGAAAGCGUGGGGAGCAAACAGGAUUAGAUACCCUCGUAGUCC
This 740-nucleotide ribosomal RNA is filed under the name uncultured bacterium. RNAcentral's name for it is "bacterial SSU rRNA". It matches the Rfam family "Bacterial small subunit ribosomal RNA", at positions 8 to 796 of the family's 1533-position model. The record is from RNAcentral.